GACCCAGUGGUGUAAUGGUAGACACACCUACUUUCAGUUCGUGACGCAAUAGCGUGGGAGAUCCUUGUUCAACUCAGGGCUGGGUCA
Non-coding RNA from Mycena rebaudengoi, 87 nucleotides. NCBI's taxonomy places the organism in Eukaryota, Fungi, Basidiomycota, Agaricomycetes, Agaricales, Mycenaceae. The record is from the annotation of a GenBank genome assembly.